CAGCCCAGUCCCAGAAGGAGCUUGGGAAUACAGCAGUAGGCUUUAAAGCUUGCGUGUCUUUUGCCUACGCUUCUGGAAUCCUCAAGUUGUGUUGACCUACCUGGGAACACUGCUGGCUCCAGAAUGCCAAGCUCCACAGAAAUGUGAAAUUAACAAGGAAUUGUUCACCUGAUAAAAAGGAACGUGGAGAGAUGGUUCUUGAACCUGAAUAGGAGGAGAUCGUGCCUGGACACUGGGAAGAAUCUUCUGCAUUGAUUUGAUUAAAAAACAACUACAUAA
This 279-nucleotide long non-coding RNA is filed under the name Pongo abelii (Sumatran orangutan). Its description in RNAcentral is "lincRNA". The record is from RNAcentral. Lineage: Eukaryota; Metazoa; Chordata; Mammalia; Primates; Hominidae.